This 507-nucleotide ribosomal RNA is filed under the name uncultured bacterium. Its description in RNAcentral is "partial 16S ribosomal RNA". It matches the Rfam family "Bacterial small subunit ribosomal RNA", at positions 899 to 1397 of the family's 1533-position model. The record is from RNAcentral.
ACUCAAAUGAAUUGACGGGGGCUCACACAAGCGGUGGAGCAUGUGGAUCAAUUCGAAGCAACGCGAAGAACCUUACCUGGGUUUGACAUGUACGGAUGCCCUCGAUGAAAGUCGAGUAAGCUGCCGAAAGGUGAAACGUGCACAGGUGCUGCAUGGCUGUCGUCAGCUCGUGCUGUGAAGUGUCGGGUUAAGUCCCUUAACGAGCGAAACCCUUGUCGCUAGUUACCAGCGGGUCAUGCCGGGGACUCUAGCGAGACUGCCGGCGUCAAGCCGGAGGAAGGCGGGGACGACGUCAAGUCAUCAUGGCCUUUAUGUCCAGGGUGUCACACGUGCUACAAUGGGGUGUUACAGAGCGACGCGAGACCGCAAGGUGGAGCAAAUCGCAGAAAUCACCCCUCAGUUCAGAUUGGGGUCUGCAAUUCGACCCCAUGAAGUUGGAAUCGCUAGUAAUCGCGGAUCAGCCAUGCCGCGGUGAAUAUGUUCCUGAGCCUUGUACACACCGCCCGU